UGAAAUUUCGUUUCUGUGAG
This 20-nucleotide non-coding RNA is filed under the name Rattus norvegicus (Norway rat). Lineage: Eukaryota; Metazoa; Chordata; Mammalia; Rodentia; Muridae. The record is from RNAcentral.